Molecule: ribosomal RNA, 399 nt
Filed under: uncultured bacterium
Lineage: Bacteria
Description: partial 16S ribosomal RNA
Rfam family: Bacterial small subunit ribosomal RNA
Source: RNAcentral
AAUAUUGCACACAGGGCGAAAGCCUGAUGCAGCAACGCCGCGUGAGUGAUGAAGGCGUCCGGGUCGUAAAGAUCUUUGAUCAGGGAGGGUAAGGACAGUACCUGAAAAACAAGCUACGGCUACCUAAGUGACAGGAGCCGCGGUAAUACGUAGGUGGCGAGCGGGGUCCGGAAUUACUGGGGGUAAAGGAUGCGUAGGUGGAUACUUAAGUGGGAUGUGAAAUCCCCGGGCUCAACCCGGGAACUGCAUUCCAAACUGGGUAUCUAGAGUGCAGGAGAGGAAAGCGGAAUUCCUAGUGUAGCGGUGAAAUGCGUAGAUAUUAGGAGGAACACCAGUGGCGAAGGCGGCUUUCUGGACUGUAACUGACACUGAGGCAUGAAAGCGUGGGUAGCAAACAGG